RNAcentral lists this ribosomal RNA (526 nucleotides) under uncultured bacterium. RNAcentral's name for it is "bacterial SSU rRNA". It matches the Rfam family "Bacterial small subunit ribosomal RNA", at positions 983 to 1509 of the family's 1533-position model. The record is from RNAcentral.
GACAUCCAGAGAACUUAGCAGAGAUGCUUUGGUGCCUUCGGGAACUCUGAGACAGGUGCUGCAUGGCUGUCGUCAGCUCGUGUUGUGAAAUGUUGGGUUAAGUCCCGNAACGAGCGCAACCCUUAUCCUUUGUUGCCAGCGGCUCGGCCGGGAACUCAAAGGAGACUGCCGGUGAUAAACCGGAGGAAGGUGGGGAUGACGUCAAGUCAUCAUGGCCCUUACGGCCAGGGCUACACACGUGCUACAAUGGCGCAUACAAAGAGAAGCGACCUCGCGAGAGCAAGCGGACCUCAUAAAGUGCGUCGUAGUCCGGAUUGGAGUCUGCAACUCGACUCCAUGAAGUCGGAAUCGCUAGUAAUCGUAGAUCAGAAUGCUACGGUGAAUACGUUCCCGGGCCUUGUACACACCGCCCGUCACACCAUGGGAGUGGGUUGCAAAAGAAGUAGGUAGCUUAACCUUCGGGAGGGCGCUUACCACUUUGUGAUUCAUGACUGGGGUGAAGUCGUAACAAGGUAAGCGUACUACA